Aspergillus tanneri is the source of this 89-nucleotide non-coding RNA. The record is from the annotation of a RefSeq genome assembly. NCBI's taxonomy places the organism in Eukaryota, Fungi, Ascomycota, Eurotiomycetes, Eurotiales, Aspergillaceae.
GCCCGGAUGGUCUAGAGGUAUGAUUCUCGCUUCGGGAUAGUUAAUACCUUAAAUGCGAGAGGUCCCGCGUUCGAAUCGCGGUUCGGGCC